Molecule: ribosomal RNA, 497 nt
Filed under: uncultured bacterium
Lineage: Bacteria
Description: partial 16S ribosomal RNA
Rfam family: Bacterial small subunit ribosomal RNA
Source: RNAcentral
GACGAACGCUGGCGGCGUGCCUAAUACAUGCAAGUCGAACGAGAGCGACCGGUGCUUGCACUGGUCAAUCUAGUGGCGAACGGGUGAGUAACACGUGGGUAACCUGCCCAUCAGAGGGGGAUAACAUCCGGAAACGGAUGCUAAACCGCAUAGGUCUUCGAACCGCAUGGUUUGAAGAGGAAAAGAGGCGCAAGCUUCUGCUGAUGGAUGGACCCGCGGUGCAUUAGCUAGUUGGUGAGGUAACGGCUCACCAAGGCCGUGAUGCAUAGCCGACCUGAGAGGGUGAUCGGCCACAUUGGGACUGAGACACGGCCCAAACUCCUACGGGAGGCAGCAGUAGGGAAUCUUCCGCAAUGGACGCAAGUCUGACGGAGCAACGCCGCGUGAGUGAAGAAGGUUUUCGGAUCGUAAAACUCUGUUGUUAGAGAAGAACAAGUGCUAGAGUAACUGUUAGCGCCUUGACGGUAUCUAACCAGAAAGCCACGGCUAACUACGUG